CCUACGGGAGACUGCAGUGAGGAAUAUUGGUCAAUGGUCGGGAGACUGAACCAGCCAAGCCGCGUGAGGGAGGACGGUACAGAGUAUUGUAAACCUCUUUUGUCAGGGAACAAAGACUGGGACGCGUCCCCGGAUGAGAGUACCUGAAGAAUAAGCAUCGGCUAACUCCGUGCCAGCAGCCGCGGUAAUACGGAGGAUGCGAUCGUUAUCCGGAUUUAUUGGGUUUAAAGGGUGCGCAGGCGGUUUGGUAAGUCAGCGGUGAAAUGCCCGGGCUUAACCCCGGGACGGCCGUUGAACCUGGCAGUCUCGAGUUGGAGAGAGGUAUGCGGAAUGCACGGUGUAGCGGUGAAAUGCAUAGAUAUCGCGCAGAACUCCGAUUGCGAAGGCAGCAUGCCGGCUCCACACUGACGCUGAGGCACGAAAGCGUGGGUAUCGAACAGGAUUAGAUACCCGUGUAGUC
RNAcentral lists this ribosomal RNA (460 nucleotides) under uncultured bacterium. RNAcentral's name for it is "partial 16S ribosomal RNA". It matches the Rfam family "Bacterial small subunit ribosomal RNA", at positions 338 to 795 of the family's 1533-position model. The record is from RNAcentral.